CACGUAGGAGGCAAACGUUAUCCGGAUUUACUGGGCGUAAAGCGCGUGUAGGUGGUUCUGUAAGUAGGGCGUGAAAGCUCCCGGCUCAACUGGGAGAGGCCGUUCUAAACUGCAGAGCUAGAGGAUGGUAGAGGGAGGUGGAAUUCCAGGUGUAGCGGUGGAAUGCGCAGAUAUCUGGAGGAACACCAGUGGCGAAAGCGGCCUCCUGGACCAUUCCUGACACUCAGACGCGAAAGCUAGGGUAGCAAACGGGAUUAGAUACCCGCGUAGUCCCU
This 275-nucleotide ribosomal RNA is filed under the name uncultured prokaryote. Its description in RNAcentral is "partial 16S ribosomal RNA". It matches the Rfam family "Bacterial small subunit ribosomal RNA", at positions 524 to 798 of the family's 1533-position model. The record is from RNAcentral.